Molecule: ribosomal RNA, 392 nt
Filed under: uncultured bacterium
Lineage: Bacteria
Description: partial 16S ribosomal RNA
Rfam family: Bacterial small subunit ribosomal RNA
Source: RNAcentral
AUACGGAGGAUGCGAGCGUUAUCCGGAUUUAUUGGGUUUAAAGGGAGCGUAGGCGGGAGCUUAAGUCAGCGGUUAAAUGGUGCGGCUCAACCGUGCCCUGCCGUUGAAACUGGGUUUCUUGAGAGUGCAAGAGGCGGAUGGAAUUCAUGGUGGAGCGGUGAAAUGCUUAGAUAUCAUGAAGAACCCCGAUUGCGAAGGCAGUCCGCUGGGGCACGUCUGACGCUGAUGCUCGAAGGUGCGGGAAUCAAACAGGAUUAGAUACCCUGGUAGUCCGCGCAGUAAACGAUGAUUACCCGCCGUCGGCGGUAGACAGUCGGCGGCCAAGCGAAAGCGAUAAGUAAUCCACCUGGGGAGUACGCCGGCAACGGUGAAACUCAAAUGAAUUGACGGGG